Molecule: long non-coding RNA, 4337 nt
Organism: Passer domesticus (house sparrow)
Lineage: Eukaryota; Metazoa; Chordata; Aves; Passeriformes; Passeridae
Exons: 7
Source: RefSeq, a predicted model, not a curated record
CCAAGCUCUGACCCGUCUCCUCGCCCUUUUUUGAGGUUUCUGAGGCAAACCCCCAGCCCUGUCACACCUGAAGAGCAGCACAGAGGCCCCUCAGACAGAUCUGAGCCGUUCUGUGUCGUGGAGAGUCUGAUCCUCAAAAUUAUUCAUUAAAAAUACCCACUUAAUAAUUUCAAAGAGAAAGCUGAAAGAUGCUCAGGGGCAAUCUGUGAACAGGAAAAGGGGGUUAAAUUCACCUAAUAAAUUAUUUGCAGACUGAAUAAUUCAUGGGAAAUCCAGGGUGCAUUUAGAGGGGUUUGAUGGGGGCUGUCAGCUCCUCUGGAGUGGGAAGACACCUCAGAACCUGGCAUUUUCUCAGGCACCAUCUCAGUACAGCAGAAUUUCCACCUGGAACCAGAUGUGUGGGUGGAGUUUUCUGUCCCUGACCCCAGCCAGUGCCUGGUGGUAGAGGAAAAGCCAUAAAAAAAUCUCAGACCUGCUUUAUCCUGUCCCUAUCCGACUGGAGGCUCCUGGCAGUGGGCAGAAAUGGGAAUUCAGGGUUUGGGACAGCCAGGACAACCUGGAGCCACAUCCACGUGCUGGAACUUUGCAGAGUGAGCAGAGUGAAGUGAAGCAGAGGUGGGACUGAGUGUGAGGCUGCAGCUGUGGAUCAGUUACUGGUCAGGGAUUGCUGUGCCACAGACAGGCUCCAAAUUAUCAGACAGAAAUGUAAAUGAAGAUCUGAGACCUUGCUGGGUCUGUAAACACUGGGCUUCGUCUCGUGGCAAAGGGUUAAACCCAGCACUAGCACUGGGUUUAUUUUAACUUGGGAUAAAGUUUCCAAGAGGUCCAUGAAAAUAAGCUGAGGUUGGUCCAAAUGCAAUGGAAAACCUGGAAUUUUAGUACAUGAAGCAGGUGACGAAAGCAGCACAUGAAACUUUGUAAACAGAGGUGUUAAAACAAAUUUAAUAAUAGACUUUUUAAACUCCCAGAUCACUGUCAGAGUAUAUAUGUGUUAAAAGACCUAUAAAUAUAUUUUAAAACAAUCUAUUUUCCUUUCACUUAGCUGCCAAGAUCUCCAUUAGGAGGUUUGUGUUUCCUUCCAACAUUAAAGAAUCUCUCUAACAUCUGUAGCGAUGAGCAGUGAAGAGUGUCAGCUCUGCUUCUGAAACAAGCAGUGCCACCAUCUGAAGGAGGAAAAUGUGAAAUAAUGAAUAUGCUUCUGCAGAUCAGGCUGCUGUGUGCACCAGGAGAGGUGCAAAGCCUCGUGCCAGGUUUGAUCUCCCCAGUUUCUCCUCUCCACCUCCAAGGAGUGCAGUUAAUGAUGCAAAACUUGGAGAAAGUAUUGCCCAGAGGUGCUGAACCCUGGCACAAAGAGCCACAGAGCACUGCAAGGGCUGGGCUGGGGGUUCCUCUCCUCCCAAGGACUGAGCUUUUUUUUCUUGGUAUAACCAGGACAACCUGGCAGCCAUAUCCACAUAUUUGAACUUGAUAACUUGAGCAGAUUAACUUUAAAGUUAAGCAGAUGUGGGACCAAGUGUGAGAGUGCAGGUGUGGAUCAUUUACUGAUGAUCAUUUAUUGAUCCAGGUAUGGAUCAUUUACUGAUGAUCAUUUAUUGGUCCAGGUGUGGAUCAUUUACUCAUAUAUUCCCUUCAAGGACUUUGCUGGUGUUCCCUUCCUUCCAGGAGUCAGGAACAGAAAGGGAUCCCAGCACAACACGAGCUAAUCCCAGCUUCACUGGAGCAGCCAUGACUCUAAAAAUUAUCUGCUUUUUUUCCAUGAAGGCUCCCAGGACAGCAGCGUUGGACGGAGGUUGAGGAGCUGCCCUGAACUGGAGAGCUUCAUACCCAAAUGCACAGGCACCACGGGCACAGGUCAGGGAUGGAGGACAAUUCAGCUUUGCAGCUCAGAAGGUUGACACCCAGUUCUGCUCCCAGACCUGCCACUGACUCAGCCCACGGCCUCGAUUCUUGCAAUGAUGUGAUUUCCCAAUCUGUGAGCCAAGCCCUGCUGUGCCCUCAGACUGUGGGGUGAGCAGCACCUUCCCAGCCACCAAUCUGCCCAGUGCUGCUGCUCUUGUAACCAUUCUUGCAGGGAUUUUGGAGGCAACUCUUUUCAAGUGGCUUUUUUUGUCACCACGGCAGGGAAAGAGGAAGCAGAGAUUGACAAUGUGCAGACGAGGCAAAAUCUGCAUGAUGUGAUUUAAUACAGGAAAGGACUUGAAUUUCCCCAUUUCUGCAGAGAACAAUAAGCAGCAGCAGGAGCUUUCCACUCGUGCUCUCAGAAGAAGCACAAGGACAUCCCUGCAGACUACAGGGCAAAGAAUGGUGAGGAAAAGGUAAAGCUGAGGGUUGUUCCGGGGCCAAAGUGUCACACCUCGGGUCCCUGGGAUGGCUGAGGAUGGGGAAGGAGGGAAAUGGGGCUGGGGGCUGCACAGCCUGCAGGAGCAGGAGGUGCUCAGCUCCCACGAGGAGGGGAGAGCCUUGCCCGAGCGCCUCCAUCACUAAUCUGAAAUUUGUCUGCCUUCUGCAUUUGAUCUCCUCAUUUUCCUCUUCUGUGCCUUUUUAAUGCUGUUUGUAGCCAUUUCAAUUAUGUGAUUUCCUUAUCUGUGUACCAUGGAGAAUACUGUACAAGGCUUUAUAAACAGCUCCUAAGUUUAUCUGCCUGUCAUUUGCUUUUCAUUAUGCGAGAUAACAAUCUUCCUCAUAUCUUAUAAGAAGAUAGAAUGUGAUUGUUUUGAAAUGGGGAGGGGGAAAAGAGUCUGCUCUGCAUUAUCCUCAGCCCCAUAGCAUUUGUAACGUCACCAGUGUCAGCACAAUCUCCAACAUUUUUCCUUGCUGUGGUCCAGGAAGAAUUAUCUCCGUAGUUUCUUGUGCUUGCUGCUAUCUCCUCUUUUUCUCCAUUUUAGACACAGAGGUUCUUAUCUGGAGCGUGGUUCUGCAGCUACAGAUUUGCCUAAAUUCAGUGAGAUCUCUCCAAACCCUUUGGAGGAGCUCGUGCACCGAGGGGAAGGGUGAGAGGCAAUUGUCAGCAGCUGGCUGGAUUAAAUAUGGACAGAUAUUAUUCAUGUCAUUUGACAGUUCCUGACUCUCAGCUGUAUAAUGACAGAGCAACAGUAGGAAUUCCAGCAGCCCAGCUUCUGUCUUACUUCAAGAUAAGCUUAUCAACCGUAGCCUGAAUCCAUUCAGCUCCUCAGCAGAUCAGAGCUCGUGUCAGGCUGAGCCGAUUCCUGCUUCCUGCCCUGCUCUGCACGUCCCUGUGGGCUGGGCUCUGCCAGCUCACAGCUGCCUUGCAGGGCUUUCAGCAGACAGACUGUGCCCUGUGUGUGCUCUGCCCCUUGUCCAGGGCAGCCCUGGAUGCCCCUGGUGCCCCCGAGUGCCCCUGGAGCAGAGCAGGGCAGGAGGGACCAGGGGUGCCAGCCCUGCUGGGCUUUGCUCUCCUCUGCAGCUCCUUGAGCUGCAAAGAGCAGCUGCCUUGUUUGGCUUCUAAAGGUGCAAACUUCAUCCUGAGGAUUUUCCCGUGCUGUCCACGCCAGAGAUUCAGAGGGAUCUCGGAACAAUGCAGGAAUCACAGCUGUCACUGCACACUCCGUGGUGCAGGGUUAAGAAUUGACCAAGAGUCUGGAAUUUCCCUUGUGUGCCCUCCAGAUUACAGCACCAACUUGUGGGGUUUGGUGUCAGGGAGAAUCGUGGGUUCAGAGAACUUCUGGCAGGAGCAUUUAAGCUUCAUCUCCGACUCGCAUUGGGAAAUUAGGGGCUAAUUAAGUCCCCAGGGGCAGUACUCAGGUGAAAGACUGCUGGGUCCCUCCCGAAAUUCCCUUCUGCACAGCAAAGCCCGAAUGCUGGCACACGACAGGACACAAACGCUCCCGUGCCAUGGCUCCCGGACGAUUUUAGUCAGAAAAGUUAUCUUCCAUCAAAAAAAAGAACUGAGGGGAUGCUUUCACUCGCCAGCUUGGGAAGCACGUGGAUGCUGGGAUGCCAGCAGGAGGGCAGGACCUUCCAGUGGCUUCCACAUGUCUCAGGAUUUUCUGAAGACCCCAGGGAGCAGAACUCCAUUAGCUGAAGUCACCUUUCUGUCACACGAGCCAGGUAGCAGCCAGGCAGGAGACACAAAGGACCUCUGGAAUUUAAACUUCUCUGCUGCUCUGCUCAACACAGCCGAGCAAGAAUUCAUGCUGGCACCGAAGUUCUCCCAGCUAGGCUGUGCUAUUUAAAACGGGAUUUCAUCCUAAUGAGCCUAAAAUAAACCAGUGUGUGGAAGGAGAUUUCAAAGUACCCUCAGUGGGCUCGGGGGGCUCGGGAGAAGGAGGAAAAGCACCAAAGGCAGCCGGAGAGCACCCUCUCCUGGACACGGAGCC